Long non-coding RNA from Acanthopagrus latus (yellowfin seabream), 603 nucleotides. RefSeq lists it as uncharacterized. The record is from RefSeq and is a predicted model, not a curated record. The transcript is spliced from 3 exons. NCBI's taxonomy places the organism in Eukaryota, Metazoa, Chordata, Actinopteri, Spariformes, Sparidae.
ACACCAGAUGUUUCAUUUUGUGUCACUGCUGCAGCUGAAACAACCCAAAUCUACAGAACCACAGACGAGCCCAACAUGUCUUCAUGCUGCUGCUUUAUGCUCAGUUUUUUAUGAGGGUCCAAAGAACCCUCGGUCCGGGUCAGGAAAAGAUCAUGUUCCGGCAUAAAACCGACCUGGUUCUGUGUCCAGAAUGACGCUGCAGACUCACACACACACACACACACACACGAGGCUGGAAGUUGACCCGAAGUUUGCAGCAGCUUAGAUUCACAGUAACACAUGAAACUGAGACGCAGUCCUGAACAGCAGUCACUGGCUUCACCCUGCACCCUCAGAACCAGGCUGCUCGGGUCCCUCUCGAUCAUCGGGCUCUCCUCGUUGUUCAGGAUGUGCUCGACCAGGCAGCGCACCGCCUCCUCGAUGUUUGUGUUUUCCUGAGGGAGGAAUAAAAGAAGACGCCUGUAAAGAAACCAGGUGAGACAACAGGAGAGAAACAAACGCCUCGAUAAGUUUGACUUCCUCUGUCGGACGUCGACCUCUGACCUUUGAGUCCAGGUCGUCCUUCCACUUCAGCACGGCGUCGAACGUCGAGGCCCGCGUCAC